This 427-nucleotide ribosomal RNA is filed under the name uncultured bacterium. RNAcentral's name for it is "bacterial SSU rRNA". It matches the Rfam family "Bacterial small subunit ribosomal RNA", at positions 355 to 774 of the family's 1533-position model. The record is from RNAcentral.
UGGGGAAUUUUGGACAAUGGGCGCAAGCCUGAUCCAGCAAUGCCGCGUGCAGGAUGAAGGCCUUCGGGUUGUAAACUGCUUUUGUACGGAACGAAAAGGCUCUGGUUAAUACCUGGGGCUCAUGACGGUACCGUAAGAAUAAGCACCGGCUAACUACGUGCCAGCAGCCGCGGUAAUACGUAGGGUGCAAGCGUUAAUCGGAAUUACUGGGCGUAAAGCGUGCGCAGGCGGUUAUGCAAGACAGAGGUGAAAUCCCCGGGCUCAACCUUGGAACUGCCUUUGUGACUGCAUAGCUAGAGUACGGGAGAGGGGGAUGGAAUUCCGCGUGUAGCAGUGAAAUGCGUAGAUAUGCGGAGGAACACCGAUAGCGAAGGCAAUCCCCUGGACCUGUACUGACGCUCAUGCACGAAAGCGUGGGGAGCAAACA